UGCUCUGCCAAAGCUGAGUUCUCCUGCUUC
Molecule: non-coding RNA, 30 nt
Filed under: Callithrix jacchus (white-tufted-ear marmoset)
Lineage: Eukaryota; Metazoa; Chordata; Mammalia; Primates; Cebidae
Also listed under: 1 other name
Source: RNAcentral